GGAUCAGUAUGUCGGUCGUGCUUUGGUACGUACUGUCAUUACUGGUUUCUCCCUUCUGAAGAACCAUGAUGUCAUUAGUUUGAUGUCGUGGGAAAUCAGGACUGUUACUUUGAAAAAAUUAGAGUGUUUAAAGCAGGCAUACGCUUGAAUACAUUAGCAUGGAAUAAUGAAAUAGGACGUUUGAUUCUAUUUUGUUGGUUUCUAGGAUCGACGUA
This 215-nucleotide ribosomal RNA is filed under the name uncultured Glomeromycotina. Its description in RNAcentral is "partial small subunit ribosomal RNA". The stretch from base 36 to 215 matches the Rfam family "Eukaryotic small subunit ribosomal RNA", at positions 683 to 864 of the family's 1831-position model. The record is from RNAcentral. Lineage: Eukaryota; Fungi; Glomeromycota.